Molecule: long non-coding RNA, 1271 nt
Organism: Myotis brandtii (Brandt's bat)
Lineage: Eukaryota; Metazoa; Chordata; Mammalia; Chiroptera; Vespertilionidae
Exons: 2
Source: RefSeq, a predicted model, not a curated record
UCAGAAUCGUGGCUGCCUGGUAGACAUCAUAUCUUUGUUUCUCUGGCUGGUUUCCAGAUCUUGUCUCUGGAUCUGUGUCUCAAUAUGACUCAGUAGAUGCCCCUCAGCUCCUCCUCUCUAGACCUAAAACACACACUUAAAGGGGACUCUUAGUCCUUUUCCUCUCUCUUUUGUGUCUUUAUAAAUCUCUCUUCCCUCCCAUUUCACCCCUUCUCCCUUAGUUGAGCUAUCUUGGUCACCUGCUCCCCCCCUCCCACUUUCAUCCCAUAUCAUAACACAAUAUGAUCCCAGACUGCCCACCAAGGCAGGGACUCAUUCAGAGCCUCUUUUCUCUUCCCCAUCCCUCCUUGAAAUCCGACUGUCCCCCUGGGCCAGAGGUCUCUGGGGUGGCAGUGAGGUAGGGGAAUGGCUGGGCCUAAGAGGGCAGACACAGGACAGAUGGAGAGUCCAGUGAAGUAGGAGAAGGACAGGAGGAUCAAAAGAGAAACACAGUGAGAGUGAAAAAGUGACUGGGAGACAAAGGGGCAGAGGCUAAGAGUUAGCAGAAAGCCAGCAUAACAAGCUGGGAGAGUGAGAGAAACAUAAAGAGAGCGGCGAGACUGGGAGCAGAGAAAAAGAAAAAGAAUGGAGAGAGAAGGACGGGAAAGUCACAGCUAGAGAAGGCAGCUGGGGAGGGGCUGGCAUGGGUCAGGCUGGCUCUCCUGGGCUCGCUCCCUCCUUCUGAUGGGCCAUAAAUCUGUGUGUGUGCGCACACUUGUGUCUGUCUGUCCAUCUAUGUGCAUGCACGCACUGCACAUGUGUGCAGGGGUUGGUGGUGGGCAGAGGGAUGAUUCCCACAAUAUCCUCAUUCUCAUUUGUUUCAGGAGUCUCCCUCCUUGAGGCACCCCACACCAACCCCUCAUUUCCCAGCAUUCCUGAUGCUCCAGGGGCCAUUCCCAAGAAAUGCUGUAACUGCACUCCAGGGGCUAUGUGAAUGCCGGAUGCUUGGAAAGUUCCUCUCCCAUCUGCCUUCCAUCCUUUCUGCUGCAAAGAUCUGUGGUCCUCCGAGGGGCUCUCCAGGAGUCGACCCCCUGCCCGAUCUGUGAAACUCAUUCUCCACCGCCCUCAGGGCCCCCUUCUCUGGCUCAGGAUGAGAGGGAGAUGCUGGGUGGGGGCCUGGGGAGAGCGGCCACGCUAAAAAUAGGGGCUCCCAACGGCACCCCCAGCCCCUUAUUUAUCGCCUUCCAAACCCCACUCUCAAAGAAGCAUAAAUACGCAUUCCUAAUCCUGAA